Molecule: ribosomal RNA, 496 nt
Filed under: uncultured bacterium
Lineage: Bacteria
Description: partial 16S ribosomal RNA
Rfam family: Bacterial small subunit ribosomal RNA
Source: RNAcentral
AUGCACGCUGGCGGCGUGCCUAAUACAUGCAAGUCGAGCGAACAGACGAGGAGCUUGCUCCUCUGACGUUAGCGGCGGACGGGUGAGUAACACGUGGAUAACAUACCUAUAAGACUGGGAUAACUUCGGGAAACCGGAGCUAAUACCGGAUAAUAUAUUGCACCGCAUGGUUCAAUAGUGAAAGACGGUUUUGCUGUCACUUAUAGAUGGAUCCGCGCCGCAUUAGCUAGUUGGUAAGGUAACGGCUUACCAAGGCAACGAUGCGUAGCCGACCUGGGAGGGUGAUCGGCCACACUGGAUCUGAGACACGGUCCAGACUCCUACGGGAGGCAGCAGUAGGGAAUCUUCCGCAAUGGGCGAAAGCCUGACGGAGCAACGCCGCGUGAGUGAUGAAGGUCUUCGGAUCGUAGAACUCUGUUAUUAGGGAAGAACAAAUGUGUAAGUAACUAUGCACGUCUUGACGGUACCUAAUCAGAAAGCCACGGCUAACUACGUG